GAUGAACGCUGGCGGCGUGCCUAAUACAUGCCAGUCGAGCGAACAGACGAGGAUCUUGCUCCUCUGACGUUAGCGGCGGACGGGUGAGUAACACGUGGAUAACCUACCUAUAAGACUGGGAUAACUUCGGGAAACCGGAGCUAAUACCGGAUAAUAUAUUGAACCGCAUGGUUCAAUAGUGAAAGACGGUUUUGCUGUCACUUAUAGAUGGAUCCGCGCCGCAUUAGCUAGUUGGUAAGGUAACGGCUUACCAAGGCAACGAUGCGUAGCCGACCUGAGAGGGUGAUCGGCCACACUGGAACUGAGACACGGUCCAGACUCCUACGGGAGGCAGCAGUAGGGAAUCUUCCGCAAUGGGCGAAAGCCUGACGGAGCAACGCCGCGUGAGUGAUGAAGGUCUUCGGAUCGUAAAACUCUGUUAUUAGGGAAGAACAAAUGUGUAAGUAACUAUGCACGUCUUGACGGUACCUAAUCAGAAAGCCACGGCUAACUACGUG
RNAcentral lists this ribosomal RNA (497 nucleotides) under uncultured bacterium. RNAcentral's name for it is "partial 16S ribosomal RNA". It matches the Rfam family "Bacterial small subunit ribosomal RNA", at positions 28 to 507 of the family's 1533-position model. The record is from RNAcentral.